RNAcentral lists this unclassified non-coding RNA (339 nucleotides) under uncultured fungus. Its description in RNAcentral is "partial contains 5.8S ribosomal RNA, internal transcribed spacer 2, and large subunit ribosomal RNA". The record is from RNAcentral. Lineage: Eukaryota; Fungi.
AACGCAUAUUGCACUCUCUGGUAUUCCGGGGAGUAUGCCUGUUUCAGUAUCAUAAAGUCACUCAAAAUCCUUCUUUCGAGGGGAGAUUGGAAAUGGGUUUUGCAAAUUUUUUUUUUGCUGACCUGAAAUAGAGCUGCAAGAAUCCCACCUUGGGUAAAUUCAAGGCGUCAUAGUUGGUGAAAUUGCCAUCUUUCGCCGUUGUGCCUAGGCAGGAAUUUUAGCUUGUAGUUGCAAGUCCCUAGUUCGUCUCUAUUGAGAAGGGCCAGGGAAGGCUGAACUUUUUUGGCCUUGUUUUUAAGUCUUGAUCUGAAAUUAGGUAGGAUUACCCGCUGAACUUAA